CUGCUUCUCAGUCAGUCUGUUUCCAGCCUGCGGUGUUUCAAUGGGCUCUUGCUUCUUGGGGACAGGACUUUGCAUUUGUCCUUACUGAAUUUCACAAGAAGAGUGAAAGAUCUACUUCAGUAAAAUAUUCAAGAAGUGUUUUGUGAAUGCACGAAAUGGAUCCCUGUGGAGAUGGAGAAUGAGAUGAAGAGAAAUCAGAAAGACUGAUUAUGCUGAAACCAGUGCUACAAAAGAGGAUGCUUGAAAGGACAAGUGUGUUUCUCAGCCACUUGUCCUUCAAACAACAUGAUUGUCCUUGUAUGUAUCUGCUUCAUCCAGUUUAUCAGCAUCUCUCUUGAUAAACAUGUAUUUCCACAGUCAUUCAGUGAGUCAACAUGUUUGGAAACAAAACGCAGCAUUCCUUCUUGUUCAAAUGAAACAAAGAUUCAGGAAUUACUUACUAUACCUGACUUUUGUGUCUCAUCCAAAUUGAAGAUGCUAAGCACUCCUGGCACUGAAAACAAACAAAAAUCUGCACAGUUAAGGCAGAGAGUGGGAAUUGAAACUGGAAAAUCUGGAUGGUGAGAAAAUUAACAGGAACAACAAAAUGUAUUAGAUCAUGAUAAAAUUAUUUGUCUCACAGCCAUAAACAAUGUAAAGGGGAUUUAAUAAUUGUUUUGUCAAGAAGACCUUGUUGUAGACAAAGACUCAUGCAAUAACUGUUGUAAAGGUACACCACAAAACAAGAAAGCAUUCUCUGACUGCAGCAGAGUUACAAAUGUACAUGUAAAUGCGUAUGCAAUCCGAGAAACUGAUUGCAACUAUCAAUAGGGAUUUCUGUGAACAUCUGAUCACACGUGCAGUGUAACAAAUACAUUGGGCACAGAUAGUAAGUAGAGAGUCCAAACUCUAACUCAUAGAAUGAAAAACUCAUCUUGUCACCAAAAGAUAGGUUUAAUUUUUUUCCUUAUUUCCUUGUUUCCUUUUUUUUUUUUUUUUUUUUUUUUUUUUUUUAGAAGUGAAGCCAAACAGUUUCAGGAGGAGCAGAACUAACAUAUCCAGAUUUCAUAUGGAUUUUUUUCAUAUGGAUCCCAUCCCUUAUGUUUUCUUCCUUGUCUCCACUGCUACCCUGUAUGUUUUGCUGAGUUAAAACAGCAGCACAUAUGUAUAGUUAGAAAAUAAUCAUAAUGUGCUGACUUACUGGCUGAGUGUUACCACUUGAUUACAUAAGAGCCCGAGUUAUAAGUUUUUAUUUAAUGAUCUACUCAGCCAAGUAUUAAUACAACUUGUAAGAAUUUAAUUUAAGGCAAUCCCUUGUGUCAGACUCAAUUGAAUAUGGUUAAUAUAUUUAAAAGUUGGAGGGGAGAACAGUGCUGCACCAGAAAGUCAAUCUGACUGAGGCAACAGAGCAUCUUACAAGCACCACAGGGAAGUGUACUCUUCCUCAUUAAAACUGCAGCAUAAGGUCUCUGAGGAAUGGGAUAUUCUGUUAUGUUUCAUUGCUGGGUAGCAGAGGAGUGGUCUGACAAAAUGGCGUCUUACAUGGAAGUUUGUAUAAAGCAAAGGUGUGUCACUGAAUUCCUUUGUGUGGAAAAAAUGGCACCUCCUGACAUUCAUCAACACUUGCUGAAGGUUUAUGGAGACCUAACAGUGGAUGUGAGCACAGUGAAGUGGUGUGUUUCAGCAGUGUUGACAGUGAUGCGAAAGAACAGCUCAUUCAGCUAUAGGCUAGAUCACUUAAGCUCUCUUGGGCUUCACGAUUGAAAUGUAUGUAUUCUUGUAAUAGAGAAUAGAUUGGAAAACCAGAGUAACCUCCAGUUUAUAAUGGUUUGUGCAUUCUUUGUAAUUGUGGAUUUGAAACAAAAAACUGUGCUCCCCUCAAUCCUCCCCAGCUAAAGAGCUUCUCUGUAAGAAAUAGUGUAUAUGCUCUAAGUCUGUUUUCAUAACAGAUUUGAAUCUCUUAUGUUUCUAUAAUAUUCAGUUUAUUCAAAUUAUCCUUCAUUUGAAUAAUGCUUUAUAAUUUGUUGUAGAUGUAACGCAAGCUGCCUAUGAAAAUUUCAAACUAACUUUGUUUUUCAGAGUCACUCUUUGACUUUUUUUGUUCUUUUUUUUUUAAAUUAUUUUUCUUAAUACAUCUUAUUCUGAUUUUCUUGGCUUAGUUUUUAUUUCUUUGUUUUCUGUUGUUACAAUUUAAGCAUUUUGUCCAGUCUUUGUGAAAGCAGUGUAAUCAAUUCAGUAUAGCAUUAAAAUAAUUCAGUGUAUAAUUAACUUCAGGUUUUUCAAUACUUUCUUUUGAUAUGAUGUACAAAGUUAUUUCCCUUAUGAAUUUCAAUAAGUUAAAGCUCUUCAGUGCUUAAUGAAACAUUAAAGAAAAAAUGGUGUAUCACACUAGCAGUAUUUUCUACCAUCUCCAUCUUUAAAACAAGUGGCAAAUCCAUGCAUGUAACUUCUGCAUUUCCUAACUAUGUUUAUGGAGUAUAAGGAAUAAAUACAAACACCAUCUAACUGCUUUAAUGUUUACUAGUUGAUGGUUGUUCCUUGAAUAAAUAUUGAGCAGUACUAUUCAUUCAAUAAUAAAUAUUCAAAAUAUUGAGCAGUAUUCUUUCUUAGAAUUUUAUUAAUUUCCUUUUAAAUACCCAUAUUCUUUUAAAUUUUAAUGCCCAGAAUCAUAGAACCAUAGAAUGUCCUAGACUGAAAGGGACCCAUAAGGAUCAUAGUCCAGCUCCUCCUGUUUCAUAUCAUUUUAAAAAGGCAAGAUAUUAAAAUUACAUUCACCACAUGCUCAGUGUGUUCUCCGGUUGUUUAUCUGUUUUCCUUCUUAAAUAUCCAGUUUCUGGAUUUAAAACAAAACAAAACCCAAAUCUACAGGUGUUAUAAACAAAACAAGAAGUAGAUUAAAACAUGAGUUAUUUGAAGUGUGUGAAUAACUUCAGUUGUGGUUUUUUGUGAUAUGAGAUAUGUAAAGGACCUUUCCUUACUUUCCAUAACCCCAUAAUGUUUCAAGGGUGCAGGAAUGUCAGAAAGUAGCAAAAAGGAGGAACGAAAUGCAGAACUCAGCUUACAAGAAGGCAGGUGGCUUAUAUUAAUUGCUUUGCUGGAAAGAUUUUGAAUGUCCUUCCUACAUAGCAUAAUUCUUGUAAAACCUUAUUUUUUGCAUCUUGUGUCUUCUUCCUGAGACGUUUUCCUCAGUGCUCUAGCACAACUCAAGUCAUGGAUGUUUUUCACAUUAAAAAAAAAAAUCUAUAAGUUAAAAAAGAAAAAAGAAAAAAAGAAAAAAAAGUAGAAUGUGAGAAAGUACACAGUAGAUGGAGAAUAUUUUCAAUUCAAGUUGAUAUGAACUCCAAAAAUUCCAAUGCAACUUCUGAAAUUCCCUGGAAAAACUGUUCUUUCAUGCUUCCCCUCCUUUUUUUUUUUUUUUUUUUUUUUAAUUUUAUUCUUGCAUUGUCUUGUAAAUCCAAGCUUCUUCUAUACAGCUACAUUUGAUAAGAGAGUAGGUCCAUUCUUUUGGCACAGGAGAAGAUUAAUUUUUUCAUUGCCUAAGGCGAGACUCCUGCCUUCAGUUUUAAUCCUUCAUAAUCCCCUCACCACCUCUGUGCAAAAGUGCACAGAAUAAUUUAGAUAUGUUUUCAGGCUCAGAAAGGCUGAAAGUAGAUUUGGGAUUUAAUUUAAUUUUUCCUCACAACUUUGUUCUGAAAGCACAAAUCAUAAUUAAUUGACUUGUGUGAGCAAACUUGGCACCAAACGGUUAGCAAGGACAAUCCUUUCUACAAAAGCUAGGAGUUAAAAAAGUGUAAACUACAAAAUAAUACAAGGCUCAUGAUUUUUGAACAUGGUUAACAAUGGUUGAAUUUUGUUUUACUGAACUCCACAAAAAUUGCACCAUUGACUGGUAGGAAAGUUAGGCUAAAAUAACAUCCAAGCAGCACUAGAUUCUUCAUGAGAUCUUGUUUUAGUUGUGGCAGGGAUAUCCUUGUUUUAGCCAAAGGUAAAAGAUAAGUAAGAUCUUGUACACACUAUCAACUUUUUAUUUAAGGUUUUGAUCUUAGAUUUCUUACUAGGUGUAUUUGUGAAAGACACUUAUGUGUCUAGAGUGAAAUGCAGCGUUUGGCUUGGUGGCUACCAUGGAAAGGUGCACCAUCGUGAACAAAGCGAGAGAGUAGUCAUGAAGUACCUUAAAGGAGGAAUGAGAUUGCAGAGGAUAUAACUAAAGAUCAAGUUAUCAUAUAUCAUAUAUAUCAUGCCUCUGGAAACCGAAGAUGAGAAGAUAACCUGGAGUGCACAGUCCAGAAGAAUUAUGGUAGGUUCACUCAUGAGUGAAUCAGUAGAGAAUACACCUAGAAGAUGACUUCUUAUACCAGUAUUUUGAAUGAACCCUAAGAAAAGGAGAUUAAAGCAGACAGCAUGCAAAGAAUAAGUAGUUAGUAAGAAUGAGAUUAAUUUUGAACUGUUUUCUGUCAAAAGUUGCACAUCUAAUUUAGUUUUCCUGGCUCCCUCAAUGUGCAGUGCAGCUCUCUGGAGUAAUUCAUCCUAUGUUUUUUAAACACCUCUUUUAAAAUGGAGUCUUUUGUCCUUUGGAAGCGCCUGUUCCUCUUUCUCCACAAAGAAGGAAACUUCAGUGGUGAUCAUAAAUGAUCUUCUUAGCCUGUGGGCAGCUGGAAAUAGGAAUUUCUCAUCCUAUAGAAGAUACAUGAACUGAAGGAGUUCCCCUGCCUCCACCCUCCCCCCCAGAAAAGAAAAGAAAAGAAAAGAAAAGAAAAGAAAAGAAAAGAAAAGAAAAGAAAAGAAAAGAAAGAAAAGAAAAAAAAAACAGAGAUGAGACUAUUUGUGAGAUUAGUGACUUUGCAAAAAAAUAAAAAAAUAAAAAAAUAAAAAAAAACCACUGAGUUUGACGUUAUCCAACACAUAUUUUCCUGCUCAUACAAGCAUCAGUUUUUUCUGGCAGAAGGUGAAGUUUAAAUUGUAACCCCCAAGAGAGAGCCAUCUGCAGCAUAACCAGCAGCAAACUGCUUCCACUGGUGCUUCAUUGGCAUCUGGAAGGAUUAGGCAUCCUUGCUUCAGUUAGCUAGAAUUCAAGAACUAAUCUUUAUGUAUUUUUAAGUAGCUAAGAUCUUGCUGGUGUUCCUGAGAGAUUUUGUCAGUGGAAACGACUAUUUACUGAUUUCAUGCAAAUCACCUGACUCUAAGAUGCUCUCUCAAAGCAAAUCCCUAGAGACCAUAGAAAUUGAAAGUAAUACACAUAAUUCUCAGUUUUUAUGCAAUUCAGUGUACUUUUUCCUAUGAAUUAUGAAAACGGAACUGUAACUAAAGCUUAGAUAAGUACAAAUAUGGUUAGUGAAACAAGUUUUUCUCGAUCUGCAUUUCCUCUAAUGUUGUUUAUUAUAUUUGUCUUUUAGAGAAAAUUUCAUCCUCUGGGCCUUCUUAAGUCUCUAGAGUUCUCUGUCCUGGAGCUUAAAACUGCAUUCAUCUUAGAGGGUUGUUUCCUCCCCCUCCCCCCCUUCAAAUGACAGUUGUUCUUCUCUAAUUUUAAAGUAGGGUGUUUUUUUUGUUUGUUUGUUUGUUUUUUUUAUGUUGUUAUCAUACUGAAUAACAGAAGAUUAGACUGUGCCACAGCUAAUUUCUGUUCAAUGUGCACAAUUGUAUUCAUGAGAAAACACACUGAGAAACUUCUGAAAAAAAAAAAGAGGGGUGGAAGGAAGUUUUUCUUGCUGAUGUUCUGGAAAGAAAUGUCCUGUUGUAGUGCUUCUUAUAUAUCUGACUGUCUUUAUGUGCAGAGGCAAGAACAGAGCUACUCUUACUUUUUAUCUGGGGCAUUUGUGAAGAAAGACAUGGUGGGGGGGAUUUCUUAACUUCAAGCCUUCAUUUUUAGUUGUCAACUGGGACAACUAAAUAUUAAUGCAUAAUAAAAUGAUGUUCUAAUUAUUAUGUUGAACUUUCACAUUUUUUGAAGAGUCUGUUCCAGCCCUUUCCCUUUUAAUCAGUACCCAACCUGUCACAGGAUACUGCUGUUUUCCCUCAAGGAUGACAUGCUUCAUUUUAUAAAGGAGGUGUUUUUAGAAAAUGUGUCUUUCAGACCUUAGCAGUCCUGACCUCCAGUUCUCAGAUCCCUUGUGUAUUCCUGUCUAAAUGUACUACAUUCCGUAUUAUUGGGAAUUUUUAUCCUGUGAGCAAUGCCUGUGUUAAAAUGCAUGAUCUCAUAAGAAAGUAAAUGACAAUUAAGUUUAGUUCAAGUCAAUUGCAAAUCUUAUCCUGAUGGGUUUGCAGAUGCUAAAGCAGAGGUCAUUCUAUGUUUGGGAACACGGACUAGGAAUUAAAUGCUAGCAUUCAUAAAAAUGCUUGAAAGUGGUUUCAUAUUAAAUACUUAUCAGUUCAUAUGCUAUACUCUAUCAGAAUAAGUGUUGUAUAAAAAACAGUCACAGACAUUAAAUAUUUGCUAUUUAAUGCAGAG
This is a long non-coding RNA of Gallus gallus (chicken), 6424 nucleotides long. The record is from Ensembl. Lineage: Eukaryota; Metazoa; Chordata; Aves; Galliformes; Phasianidae.